This is a long non-coding RNA of Phyllostomus hastatus (greater spear-nosed bat), 1839 nucleotides long. RefSeq lists it as uncharacterized. NCBI's taxonomy places the organism in Eukaryota, Metazoa, Chordata, Mammalia, Chiroptera, Phyllostomidae. The record is from RefSeq and is a predicted model, not a curated record. The transcript has 3 exons.
CAGGGUGUGGUCAUGGUCAGCAGGGACAGAGCACUUCCCAGCCUGUUUUCUCCUUUGAAGCAGACAGAGAAGAGGAUAGUCUCACCAUUUGACAGUCUAUGGACAUACCUGCAAACCUCAGACCUAAGAUGGACCUUAUCUGGUACAGCUGGGAUAUUGAACAUCUUAAGCUCAUUUCUGGAACACUGGAUGUCAGGAACAUGCAUAUUUAUUCAUCUCUUGUCAAAGUUUGAACCACUGCUCAUUCUAAAGGUCUGGAGGCUGGGAGACUAUGAUCAGGGUGCCAUUUCUCUUUCUGGUUUACAGACCUUGCCUUCCUGCUUUGUCCUCAUACGGUGGAGAGAGUGAGCUCUGGUGUCUCUUCCCUUCCUGUUCUUAUAAAGCACUAAUCCUGUCAUAAAGUCCCCACCCUUAUGACCUCAUCUAAACCAAAUUACCUCCCCAAGUUUCCACCUCCAAAUACCAUCAUGUGGGGAUUAGGGCUUCCACAUAUAAAUUGGGGGGACACGGUAUUCAAUCUAUAACAGGCAUCAAUGUAACCAUCAACUUAUUAAGACACAAGGGAUUGUCAUUACUGCAGAAAGUGCUCAUGCCACCUCAUGCCCUAUACUAUAAGGCCAUAGUAAUCAAAACAGCAUGGCUGUUGCCUCAAAGGAGGCAAUUGUAAACAAACCAGCAUGUGUUGCCCCAACAAUGAAGCAGAGUGACCCAGAAGAGAAGGGUCUGCAGGAGGAGACUGCUGCUUAAGGCAACAGUAAAUAGUCAGCGUGUGCAGCCCUGGUAGCUGAGCAGCUCAUGACACAGCCAGAGAGAGCUUAUACUGAGGCUGCAUGGGGCUGAAAAUGUCAAAACACACAUGUGUGGUGUAGGUCAGCAAGCCACAGCAGGGACCAGGUGCCCUACCGAGGCAGAGAGGCUUGUGCACAACUGGGAAACUUCUGCCCCUUUCCACAAGACGGCAGCUGGAAGAGGGGCAAAGACAACUGUGGAAAACAUGGCCAACAUUGGCCCACAUUAGUUGAAUAGAUAGACACUCCCACAGCAUGUGGGAUUUGGAGAGGGAACUUCAAAACAGAACACAUGCAGAAGCCUUGCUCUUCCUUGCCUUGUGCCCCUGUUUGGUGACCCACAGACGUGGGGUCCACUUGGGGCUUCAGCCUCACACAGACGGGAGUCAGGUGCAAAGGUGAAGGCCCAUGCUAGGAUGUGUGCCUUGCUGGGUGCCUGCCCUUGGGAUACUGGGUGACAUACCACAUGGGUCCUGGAGUGCUUCCAUUUUUUUGCUCUAAGAGUAGUGCAGGGAGGCUGGGAACAGCACAUGGAGGCAUGUGCUGGGAAUGUUCCUUGGCCCCAGGGGCCCAGGCAGCCUUGGGUGUUAGGGCCCCACAAGUAGAGCUUCCCCUCCACAACUGUCUGGAUUGAUCUGGCAGCGCACCACAGACCCUGCGGGUGAGAAAAAUCUGCUGUGGGACAGUGGUGACUCUGGAAUCCACAUAUGCACACCCCCAAAAAGAAAAAGCCUAAAUAUGGAGACCCAUUUGUAUAGACACCAUGAACUCCAAAAGGACAGAUAAACAAUAAUGGGAAACUUUAGGAUAUGGAUUGGAAUUUCAGUCCUCUUGGGAACAUGGAAAUUUCUAUGCUUGGUGGGAAAGAUUGGCUUAAAACAGGAAUGCUCUCAACCACCACCCCCCCAAACAGUGGAUGCCCUGUUCAUGAAAACUUCUUUCCUUUCCCACAAAUCUUUAUGUUAUGCUUAUACAUGGUAGCAAAUGGCCAGACCCCAGGCUGCCCAGUUACAAGAGAGAACAAGUAUUUGGAAACCAUUUGAAAAAACAA